CCCGCCGCAUUCGGCUCUUCUUUGUUGUUUAAGCCUCACAGACGACGCCUGAUACACUGUGUGCGAGCGCGCCUUCUCUUGGUUCUUUGCGUGUGUCUUCUUCCCCAUUUCCGUCCUCAUCGAGUGGCUCGCUGCGUGGUGUGCGUGUGUGUGUGUGUGCCCGCGCAUCGUGUUUUGGCCUCGUCUCUGAGGGGGCACCUUUUUUCCUACUUUUUUUUUGUGGGCACUCCUCUUCGCAAGCUGCGCAGCAGCUCCGUCGACAGCACGCGUGACCAUUGGAGAGCGCAUCGGCCUCAGUUCGUUACUCGCAGAGCGGGGCAUCUGUGUAGCGACACAGAAACGAUCGAAGGGCCUUCUCCUCCCUUCCCCAACACAAACACAUAUCCAAAGCAGAGACCAUCUGCAGAGAGAAACCUUAUUCACGCCCUGCCACCCACACUUGAGCUCGUCGCCAUGCAGCGCUAUUUGAUGAACACGAGCUAUCUGCAGGGGCAGCUCAAAUCCCUGUAUUCCCUGCACAACAAAACGGUGGCUGACUACGGCGAACUAGUGCAGAACUUGAACGAGGAGUGUACUAUUUUGUGCGACGUCAUUCCGAGCUAUCGCAUCUCCAGCACCCUGGAAAGCGAAGAUGGCGGCGGCCAGCGCAAGCAGAAGGAGGUGUACAAUAUUCAGAAGCUCGAGCACGAGAUCCUCACACAAUACACGCACUUCCUGCAACUGCUUCGCAAGCUCUCGCGCAAGUCGCACCCGGAGCAGCAGGCGCUCGGUAGCCGUCUGUGCGCGCGACUCGUGAAGAGCUCCGCGCCGGAGUUCAAUCACGCCGACGCACUCCUUUCCCUCGCGAUCGACUUCGCCAAUAGCAAGUCGGUGCGCGUUGCCCAACCGUGCCAGACGGCUCUCUCCGAGGUUCUCGAUGGCCAGAAGGUGUCGGACACGACGGAGCACGUUGUGGGGGCGCUGCUGCGCAUUGUGCGUAAGCGCAGCUAUGCAAUGAACCCAAAGCUGCUGAACCUGCUGCUGCACGUGCGCGUAGCCAUGGUGGACGUUCAUCGCGAGGACUUGGCGGAGGAGAAGGCGAAGAACAAGCGGCUCAAGAAGGAGGACAAGGAGUUGGCACGUCAGUUGCAGAAGUCUAAGGCUCGCCGCGACCGUGCCGAGAUUGCAGCGAAGCAGACCCGCAUCUUGCACCGCAUCUUUGUCAUCUACCUGCGCGUCAUCGAGGCAUCGAAGGCGUGCUCGCCGGUGCAUCAAACGAAGAUCUUGGCACCAACGCUGGAGGGGCUCGUGAAGUUUGCGCCGCUGGUGAACUUGGAGCUCUACCAGCAACUGAUGGAGGCACUGAAGGACUUAGUGAAGGGCGGAGGUGCAUCACGAACACGCCUCCGCGUGGGCGGCAUCGAGGGUGGCAGCGACGGCGACAAUGUCGAUGACAAGCACGAGAAGACGGCGACCUCAGUGACCACGCGGCUGCACGCGCUGGUGGCAGUGGCGACGCUGGCGCAGCGGGACGCCACAGCGACCGCCUCGGAGUGGCGUGUCGAUCUGAGCUACUUUCACGAGGUUCUCUUUCGUUGUCUUGGCGAGGCGCUCGAGUUGCCGUCGGCUGAGUCAUCGUCCUCGGCGAAGAUGACGCGCGAGGAGGAGCAAGAGGCUUCCAACGGCGACAUGGACGAAGUGGCGUCGCAGGGGUCGACGUCGUCUGCCGGGUCGCUGUCGUCCCAGGCCUUUUCCAUUGCCCAGUCCAUGACGCAGGGGACGUUCGUGCACCAGAACGCGAGUCGUGAGUGGACCUUCCACGUCGGUCUCGUGCUGCGUGCCGUUGAUCUGCUGGUGCUCACGCAGAAGCAUCUGCCAGUGGCGCGCGUGACAGCCAUCCUGCGCCGUCUCAUACAGGCGGCUCCGUCGUGCCCGCCGCACAUCGCCAUGUCCAUCCUCGCGCUGUGCCACCGCAUCGUGCUACGUUACCCACUUGCAGGAGGUGUGAUUGUGGGCGGCAGCGACAACGUCGUCGCGGGUCGUGGUGCCUACAACCCGGAAGCACUGCAGACUGCCUCGGCCAACGCGGAUAGCUCUUUUACGUGGGAGCUGAGCCUCCUUUUGCACAGCUACCACCCAACACUGCGCCAGGUGGCAGAGACGAUGUGCAAGCAUUACCACAAGGUAUCCAAACACCAGCAUGGGCAGGCCCCCAUCGUCACGAAGCAGCUGGACUCGCUCGGCCCAUACGAGGUGAUGGAGGAGUACGAUCCAUCGCUUGGCGACCUCAAGCCUGCCGCCCCGCUACCGACCGCCUUAAAGGCGGAGGUCCGGAAGCGACAGCGCGAGGAGGCGCAGGCGUACGGGGUCGCGUGAGGAUGAAGCGUGGAGCUAAGCGUGGCUCUAUGGGCUGUCAUGUGUUCUUGUGUGCGCCUGUGCUGCUGCGGACGUGGGGUGUUGGGGGCAUUGGCUGGCAAGCCAGCGCGGGGUCCUUUUCUUCUCGUUUUUUCCAUUGUAACUACGCUUAAAUGACUCGCUUUAACGCUUACUCGCCGUGCACCCACGACGGCACGCUCACCAAGACACGACUAUGGCAGCGAAAGAAAGACAUGAAACACCCUGAUCGCGGGUGCAUGUUUGUGUGUGGAGCAGGAGCCAGCUUGAAUCGCGCGGGGCUUUCUUGGUUGAUGCGGCUGACUUUGUGCGCGCCUUGUGGCGCUCGCUCGAGAGAGCGAGCGCGUUAUGUUUCGCGCCAUUCUUGCUUCUCGUCGCGUUGCUGCUGACGAACCGACUGUGGUGCCUCUGCGGCAACUGUAAGAAGAACCGAAC
RNAcentral lists this unclassified non-coding RNA (2808 nucleotides) under Leishmania donovani. RNAcentral's name for it is "gene:LdHU3.36.2560(CDS-product:Nucleolar_complex-associated_protein/CBF/Mak21_family_putative)". The record is from RNAcentral. Lineage: Eukaryota; Euglenozoa; Kinetoplastea; Trypanosomatida; Trypanosomatidae.